GGCAAGAUGGCCGAGUGGUUAAGGCGGUGAGUGUUCCCUGUGUCCUGUUUCUCUCUCAGCAUCUCAGCUAAUGAUCAACCUAGUUACGUUUAGGCCGUAAUGGGAAACCGCGUGGGUUCGAAUCCCACUCUUGUCA
Aspergillus novofumigatus IBT 16806 is the source of this 136-nucleotide non-coding RNA. The record is from the annotation of a RefSeq genome assembly. NCBI's taxonomy places the organism in Eukaryota, Fungi, Ascomycota, Eurotiomycetes, Eurotiales, Aspergillaceae.